Molecule: ribosomal RNA, 468 nt
Filed under: uncultured bacterium
Lineage: Bacteria
Description: partial 16S ribosomal RNA
Rfam family: Bacterial small subunit ribosomal RNA
Source: RNAcentral
GACGAACGCUGGCGGCGUGCUUAACACAUGCAAGUCGAACGGAAAGGCCCUGCUUUUGUGGGGUGCUCGAGUGGCGAACGGGUGAGUAACACGUGAGUAACCUGCCCUUGACUUUGGGAUAACUUCAGGAAACUGGGGCUAAUACCGGAUAGGAGCUCCUGCUGCAUGGUGGGGGUGGGUAAGUUUCGGCGGUUGGGGAUGGACUCGCGGCUUAUCAGCUUGUUGGUGGGGUAGUGGCUUACCAAGGCUUUGACGGGUAGCCGGCCUGAGAGGGUGACCGGCCACAUUGGGACUGAGAUACGGCCCAGACUCCUACGGGAGGCAGCAGUGGGGAAUAUUGCACAAUGGGCGGAAGCCUGAUGCAGCAACGCCGCGUGCGGGAUGACGGCCUUCGGGUUGUAAACCGCUUUCGCCUGUGACGAAGCGUGAGUGACGGUAAUGGGUAAAGAAGCACCGGCUAACUACGUG